This 468-nucleotide ribosomal RNA is filed under the name uncultured bacterium. Its description in RNAcentral is "bacterial SSU rRNA". It matches the Rfam family "Bacterial small subunit ribosomal RNA", at positions 17 to 498 of the family's 1533-position model. The record is from RNAcentral.
UCCAGGCUCAGGAUGAACGCUGGCGGCGUGCUUAACACAUGCAAGUCGAACAAUGAUCCCAGCUUGCUGGGGGAUUAGUGGCGAACGGGUGAGUAACACGUGAGUAACCUGCCCUUAACUCUGGGAUAAGCCUGGGAAACUGGGUCUAAUACCGGAUAUGACUCCUCAUCGCAUGGUGGGGGGUGGAAAGCUUUAUUGUGGUUUUGGAUGGACUCGCGGCCUAUCAGCUUGUUGGUGAGGUAAUGGCUCACCAAGGCGACGACGGGUAGCCGGCCUGAGAGGGUGACCGGCCACACUGGGACUGAGACACGGCCCAGACUCCUACGGGAGGCAGCAGUGGGGAAUAUUGCACAAUGGGCGAAAGCCUGAUGCAGCGACGCCGCGUGAGGGAUGACGGCCUUCGGGUUGUAAACCUCUUUCAGUAGGGAAGAAGCGAAAGUGACGGUACCUGCAGAAGAAGCGCCGGCA